RNAcentral lists this ribosomal RNA (340 nucleotides) under Listeria monocytogenes. RNAcentral's name for it is "bacterial SSU rRNA". It matches the Rfam family "Bacterial small subunit ribosomal RNA", at positions 112 to 445 of the family's 1533-position model. The record is from RNAcentral. Lineage: Bacteria; Bacillati; Bacillota; Bacilli; Caryophanales; Listeriaceae.
AACACGUGGGCAACCUGCCUGUAAGUUGGGGAUAACUCCGGGAAACCGGGGCUAAUACCGAAUGAUAAAGUGUGGCGCAUGCCACGCUUUUGAAAGAUGGUUUCGGCUAUCGCUUACAGAUGGGCCCGCGGUGCAUUAGCUAGUUGGUAGGGUAAUGGCCUACCAAGGCAACGAUGCAUAGCCGACCUGAGAGGGUGAUCGGCCACACUGGGACUGAGACACGGCCCAGACUCCUACGGGAGGCAGCAGUAGGGAAUCUUCCGCAAUGGACGAAAGUCUGACGGAGCAACGCCGCGUGUAUGAAGAAGGUUUUCGGAUCGUAAAGUACUGUUGUUAGAGA